GGGCGCGUAGCUCAGUGGAUAGAGCACCAGAUUCCGGUUCUGGGUGUCGGGGGUUCAAAUCCCUCCGUGCUCA
This 73-nucleotide transfer RNA is filed under the name Trichodesmium erythraeum 21-75. Its description in RNAcentral is "tRNA-Arg". It matches the Rfam family "tRNA". Rfam says of the family: Transfer RNA (tRNA) molecules are approximately 80 nucleotides in length. Their secondary structure includes four short double-helical elements and three loops (D, anti-codon, and T loops). RNAcentral also lists the same sequence under 1 other name. The record is from RNAcentral. Lineage: Bacteria; Bacillati; Cyanobacteriota; Cyanophyceae; Oscillatoriales; Microcoleaceae.